Molecule: long non-coding RNA, 1084 nt
Organism: Hylaeus volcanicus
Lineage: Eukaryota; Metazoa; Arthropoda; Insecta; Hymenoptera; Colletidae
Exons: 3
Source: RefSeq, a predicted model, not a curated record
AAUGUAAUUAUUUGCUUCGCAAGAAAUUCAACGUAACUGAGCCAAAGUUUGUAAACUCGAGGAAAACGGAGGAGAGUAAUAUCUACUCGGAUGCCUUCUCAUGUUACAGAUACAGCUUGAACUUUCUGUGAUUCGCAAGCACGAGCUUUUAACAUGCGAGUCUAGAAGUGUUUCCCACGGCAAAAUGUUUGGCCAGCCUCGAUAGCGAAGCAUUCCAACCGAUUAGUCAUAAUGAUCCAAAGCCGAGAAGCCACGUACUCGUUACGUAUUCGGCUCGAACCACGCUGCAUUUGAAACUUGGACAAGUUCGGUACUAUUUGGACUUGGCGAAGGAGGUAGGAGGCCAGUUAACGACUCUGCCAGUAUCAAUGGGCCGAGAAGUUUGAAGAGAAACUUUGCCCUUCGAUUAUCGACACGAUAAUUAAGCAGGUUUAGUUACCUUGCAUAAUCCGUCUUCGAUUUGCCACGUUCAAUGGACCUUCUCAUCUGGACCUCCGCUAGCUUUAUAUAGAAAAAAAGCAGCUCGAGUAGAUAGAAAGAAACUAGCCUUGCUAGUCUUCAGGAGGAUGUUUACCAAACCGGAACCAACGUCGAAGGAAACAAACACUUUGAACGAACUAACGCCACGAGAAGUUUGCAAACGCAUACAUGGAUAAGAUGUAUCUUUGAAUUACGUAUGAACCGUCUCCAAACUCGCCGAAAAACUUUCACGAAUUUCCCGUGGAAACAUCCGCCGGAGAAAAAUGUGUUUCGGCUUUUCUGCGCGAGUCGUUCCUCCGACUCCUUCUAUCUUUCUUAUCGUUGUUAUCGCGCCGGCUGUCGUACAAAACUGGCUUGUUUAUACAAUUUCCCAUGCAAAUCCCCGAGCGGUAUAAAUACUUUCUUGCGUACGUUACUCUUCCGUUUCUCUGAGAAGCGUAGGUGUGGGUAUUGGGAGCUCCUAACGGCAUUUAUUAUAGCUGAAAGAUACAGGACGUUACAAGGUCCAGGAUGUUACAACAGAAUAGUAUGCACAGUUUGAAUGAUUAUAGUUGUAUUCUUUAAUAUUUAAAUACCAAGAGACAGACAAUAGCGUGUACAUCUA